Molecule: non-coding RNA, 187 nt
Filed under: Sphingomonas sanxanigenens
Lineage: Bacteria; Pseudomonadati; Pseudomonadota; Alphaproteobacteria; Sphingomonadales; Sphingomonadaceae
Also listed under: 1 other name
Source: RNAcentral
AAGGCGCCGCGAGCGACAGGUGCCCCGGAGACGGGGUGAAAAGGGAAUGGGGUGUAAAACCCCGGCUGCCCCUGCAACUGUAAGCGGCGAGCCAUCCGACCACAUGCCAUUGGGAUCACCCCCGAGAAGGCGGCCGGACCGGCAUCGACCCGCGAGCCAGGAGACCUGCCCGUCGCCGUCGUCCUUC